UCCGAGUUGACCCCGGCAGUCUCCCAUGAGUCCCCACCAUUACGUGCUGGCAACAUGGAACGAGGGUUGCGCUCGUUGCGGGACUUAACCCAACAUCUCACGACACGAGCUGACGACAGCCAUGCACCACCUGCACACAGGCCACAAGGGAACACCUAUCUCUAGGCGCGUCCUGUGCAUGUCAAACCCAGGUAAGGUUCUUCGCGUUGCAUCGAAUUAAUCCACAUGCUCCGCCGCUUGUGCGGGCCCCCGUCAAUUCCUUUGAGUUUCAGCCUUGCGGCCGUACUCCCCAGGCGGAGUGCUUAAUGUGUUAACUUCGGCACUAAGGGCAUCGAAACCCCUAACACCUAGCGCCCACCGUUUACGGCGUGGACUAC
Molecule: unclassified non-coding RNA, 377 nt
Filed under: uncultured Actinomycetes bacterium
Lineage: Bacteria; Bacillati; Actinomycetota; Actinomycetes
Description: uncultured actinobacterium contains 16S-23S intergenic spacer region
Source: RNAcentral